AAUUGCUGGGCUGCCUCUCCAGCUUCCAAGCUGGAGUUUUAGAGGACUAAAUACAAGCGGUCACAACAACAUCGGUACUCUCUGCUUUCUGACUGUGGAUCCAAUAUGACUAGCAGCCUUCUACUCCUGCCUCCAUGGCUUCUCUAUCAUGGUGACCUGUACCUGCAAACUAGGACCUAGAAGAAUCCCUUCCCUAAGUGGCAUCUUGUCAGGACUGCAGACAUCCCCACCUGAAGAAACCUAUAUGAGGCCCCGUUAUUACAUCAGGAGAGCUGAAGUCAGCAAGCACACUACUAUCAGCAGACACCCACAGGACAUGACAGGGGUUGUUUGGACCAUGCCCCUCCCAACAGUGAUGAAGGGAGCAAAGUGGAAACCCCCACCGUCAUGACUGGCAGAAAACAACCACCGCUGCACUGGCUUUUGCAACACAAACCACGUUUUUAUCGUACAAGCAAGGCAUUGUGUGGGCAAGAACCAAACCCGCUUCAGGACAUCAAGGGCUCUGGGCAUCGUGAGAGUUUCCUUUUGUGUUUUGAUGGGGAUCAAGAGCAACACUGCCUGGACCCCUUCCUGGACACCCGCCAGGAGUCAUCUAAGAGAGGCUAAAGGAAUGCAAGUGUUUUCUGGAGAUGGCCCACCAUUUUUACGUGUCCUACAAUGGGUCAGCUCUGAGAGGCCAGGCCCAAAGAGACUUCAUCUCAGGAUUGCUUCUUGCUAUUAUAUGCUUUUCCUGUCACCAUUACAUAGUUUAAUGAUUCCUGGGCAAAAGCUGAACUUUCAUGAAUUAAUGCUGUUUAGACAACUUAAUGAUUUUGUAGAAUUUCUGCUUUGAUUCAAACAAUUUUAGGAAGAACAUUUUUGGGAGAUAGUUUUGGCUGUUUUGCUAAACAGAUAUAAUAAAAUCAGAAUCAAGAAUAAAA
Molecule: long non-coding RNA, 923 nt
Filed under: Mus musculus (house mouse)
Lineage: Eukaryota; Metazoa; Chordata; Mammalia; Rodentia; Muridae
Description: predicted gene, 36913, transcript variant 3 (Gm36913)
Source: RNAcentral